GAUGAACGCUGGCGGCGUGCCUAAUACAUGCAAGUCGAGCGAACAGAUGAGGAGCUUGCUCCUCUGACGUUAGUGGCGGACGGGUGAGUAACACGUGGAUAACCUACCUAUAAGACUGGGAUAACUUCGGGAAACCGGAGCUAAUACCGGAUAAUAUAUUGAACCGCAUGGUUCAAUAGUGAAAGACGGUUUUGCUGUCACUUAUAGAUGGAUCCGCGCCGCAUUAGCUAGUUGGUAAGGUAACGGCUUACCAAGGCAACGAUGCGUAGCCGACCUGAGAGGGUGAUCGGCCACACUGGAACUGAGACACGGUCCAGACUCCUACGGGAGGCAGCAGUAGGGAAUCUUCCGCAAUGGGCGAAAGCCUGACGGAGCAACGCCGCGUGAGUGAUGAAGGUCUUCGGAUCGUAAAACUCUGUUAUUAGGGAAGAACAAAUGUGUAAGUAACUAUGCACGUCUUGACGGUACCUAAUCAGAAAGCCACAGCUAACUACGUG
This 497-nucleotide ribosomal RNA is filed under the name uncultured bacterium. Its description in RNAcentral is "partial 16S ribosomal RNA". It matches the Rfam family "Bacterial small subunit ribosomal RNA", at positions 28 to 507 of the family's 1533-position model. The record is from RNAcentral.